Molecule: long non-coding RNA, 2284 nt
Filed under: Homo sapiens (human)
Lineage: Eukaryota; Metazoa; Chordata; Mammalia; Primates; Hominidae
Description: HSALNT0408791
Source: RNAcentral
AAGGUAGAAGGUGGGGUCUGCCGGACGCGUGUUCCUGCCACCAGGUGCCCGCUCCCCGCGAGGCCGGCUCAGGAGCAGCAGGUAAGUCUUAGGCCAUCGCCUGCGGUGUCGGCCCCGGGAGCAGCGAGACCCAAGAUUGCAUCAAACGUUUGCCCCGUCUCUGCAUAUGUGACUGGACGUGAAUGAUGCUUCAUUUUGGCACCCCCUUUCCCUGCUCAGGUAGAAUGUAAACAAUUGAAAAAAAUCCCUUCCCAAUCAGAAUACCACCCACAGGACAACGAAGAAAACCUAUCUUCAGUCCCCACCCACGAAAUGCUGGGGGGUGGGGAGGACUGGAAAAGGAGUAAGGGGAGAGGAAGGGUGAGCAGCUGCAAGAAGUCUUUACACCUCUCUGCGGUUCCUGGUAAACGCGCUCAUGUCCUGGGUAUGGAAGGGACUUAAGAAUUCAGGAAAGAUCAAAAUAACGGGCCUCUUCCCCACUCCCUCGCCCUCCCUUCCCCGCUGCUGGGGGGUUAGGGAGGCUCCGUGGAGCUCCAGCACUCUAGAAGGAUCGGGUGAGGCGCGAGGCCUUGCGGGCGGGUGAACCCAAGGUGGGGUGGAAGGCUCCAACCCGCCCAAUCUGAGCCCGAGGCCUGCUGAGAAGCAUGGGGGCCUUGGGAUAGUUCCAGAAUGAGGAUGUGCGUUUCUAGCUGCUUUGCGCCCUCCUCCCCCAAAAAUCUGCUACCACAAUUCCAACCCGGCGGCACGCCCCCAAGACUCCUUUGUCGCCCCAGGGGCGGGACCUGAGCUGUCGAUUUCAGGAGCCCUUCGUGACUUCAAAAGUCCUGGGCACUGUUGCUCAUGAGUGCUGCACAACUGUCGCCCUCUAAAGCCACCUCCAUCCCUCACUGGGCUGGCCUCCUGAGCCUUCGGUGAGGAAACGGGGUUCCGAGUUGCCCGCCUGAGAGCUUAACAGUCUGACUAGAAAAGGGCUAAUUCGCUUUCUGUGCAAAUCUCUUGAGCUAAUUAUUUAAUCUGAAACAUGGACAGGUAAAGGACCAUUGGCGGGCGUGGGGAGGGAGGUGUGGAAUCUUUCCCACACUUUUUGUCACCUUAAAGAAAAAAAAAAGACACCCAAACUCCUCUGGUCUGAAUGGGCUGCCUGGAACUGGGCUUCCCGGGGCCAGGAGUGGGCCCCUAGAAGUUUCCCAGUUUGGGGUGGGGCCGGGGUUCCGAAGUCUAGAGCUGGGAGUCGGGUUCAGCGGCCCGAGACGCUGGCUCUCCCAGACUCCCUUGCGCCGGGGCAGUGCGCGGGGGCGGCUCGGGUCCCUCCCGGGCCGGCGGGGACCCUCAGGCUCCCGGGGCGCCGCCCACCAGCCCGACCCGGCGGCCUAGAAAUCCCCAUUCUGCUCCCGCCUCGCCCCGGCCGGCCAGCGCAGGGCCCCUCAGGCCCGCAAUCUCCAGGCUCAAACGGCGAACAGGUCCCCGCAUCCGCCUGCCUUUGCACUUGGGGGUGGGAGAGCCACCUUGUGACGCCCCUUCUGCCUCUCACCAGCUUCCCCCUUUCUCCCCGUCCUGUACGGUUCCCCCUGGAGCCAGAAGGAAGCCCGGUGCCAGCCAGCCUUCCUGAAAGACCAAGCCCGCGCCAUCCGGCUUCCUCCAGUGGACGCCUGCAGGACCCAGGAAUGUUUUUCUUGAAGGCAUCCAGCAUCUCCAGUUAGCAGUACUGAUUUUUUUUCCCCCCAACAAAGGAACACUACAUCAACACUGUUGGCGGGGACCUGGACACAGAAGACUCCUGUUUCAAGAAAAUACAAUCAUCUCUCAAAGGCUGUAAUUUAUAUGCAUUUUAAAACUCUAGGCAUUGAAAACCACCCAAGUGUCCCAAAUAGAAGGGUAAUAUAUAAUCAAUCACUCAGUGUAAUAUUAUACAUCCUUUAAAAAUGUUAUUGGGAAAUGUUUUAUGAUCUGUAAGUCCAAGGAAUCCUCUCCCACCAUUUCUUUCCCCCCGCUGUUCCCCCAUACCCACACUUCUUUGUUCCAAUUGGCAUGUAAAUUUGGUUUUCCCGCCAAAUGAGUCAGUCAUGAUGGGAACCUCAACUGAUUUGAACAGAUGUGUGUCAAUGUUACUUGGAAAACUAGAUGUCAAUAACCAGGGUCACAGAAAAAGGCAGUGGUCACAACUCUGUAAAAAUGUAUGCAUGCACACAGACAAGAACUAAAGUGGAACCCCACACAGGAAAACAGUGGGCUGUACUCCAGUGCUGGGACAUUGAAUGACUGUAUGCUGCUUUUGAUUUCCGUU